This 1731-nucleotide ribosomal RNA is filed under the name Placopus flabellus. RNAcentral's name for it is "SSU rRNA". It matches the Rfam family "Eukaryotic small subunit ribosomal RNA". Lineage: Eukaryota; Endomyxa; Vampyrellida; Placopodidae. The record is from RNAcentral.
AGUUGUCAUAUGCUUGUCUAAAAGAUUAAGCCAUGCAAGUCUAAGUAUAAAUCUAUACUUUGAAACUGCGGAUAGCUCAUUAUAACAGUUAUAAUUUAUUUGAUGGUCCCUUACUACUUGGAUAUCCGUAGUAAUUCUAGAGCUAAUACAUGCCAUUCAACCCUGACCUUACGGGAGGGGGGUACUUAUUAGAUACAAAAGCCAAUCGCGUUUCGCGACACGAUGGUGAUUCAUAAUAAUUAAUCGAACCUCGAGAGCAAUCUUGAGGUGGGUCAUUCAAAUUUCUGCCCUAUCAGCUGUGAUGUUAGUGUAGUGUACUAACAUGGCUAAAACGGGUGACGGAGGAUUGGGGUCUGAUUCCGGAGAGGGAGCCUGAGAAACGGCUACCACUUCCAAGGAAGGCAGCAGGCGCGUAAAUUACCCAAUCCCAAUACGGGGAGGUAGUGACAAGAAAUCCCAAUACUGGGUCUAAACGAUUCGGUAAUUGGAAUGAGAGCAUUGUAAAACAAUCAACGAGAAUCUAUUGGAGGGCAAGUCUGGUGCCAGCAGCCGCGGUAAUACCAGCUCCAAGAGCGUAUAUAAAUGUUGUUGCAGUUAAAAGGCUCGUAGUCGAAACAAUGGCUGGUAGUCCUCAUGCCUAUACCUAGUGUAUGGUGCUAUGUUGCUGCCAUGUCAUCCUUCUGUGAGGCAUUACUGCUCUUGAUUGAGUGGGUAGUGUCGAUCAGAUCCAUUACUGUGAGGAAAUCAUAGAGCUCAAAUCCAGACAUUGUGCUCAGUAUGCUAUAGCAUGGAAUAAUAAUAUAGGACUUUGGUUCUAUUUAUUGGCUUCUAGAACGAAAGUAAUGAUUAAAAGGGAUAGUUGGGGGUGCUUGUACUUAGCGGUCAGCGGUGAAAUGCAGAGACCCGUUAAUGACAAACUUAUGCGAAAGCAUUCACCAAAGAUAUCUUCUUUGAUCAAGAACGAAAGUUGGGGGAUCGAAGACGAUCAGAUACCGUCGUAGUCCCAACCGUAAACGAUGCCAACUUGAAAUUGGUAGUCAAUCAUUUUACCACCAGCUUCACCAGUGGAAACAAAGUUUUUGGGUUCUGGGGGUAGUAUGGUCGCAAGACUGAAACUUAAAGGAAUUGACGGAAGGGCACCACCAGGAGUGGAGCUUGCGGCUUAAUUCGACUCAACACGGGGAAACUUACCAGGUCCAGACAUAGUAAGGAUUGACAGAUUGAAGAUCUUUCUUGAUUCUAUGGGUGGUGGUGCAUGGCCGUUCUUAGUUGGUGGAGCGAUUUGUCUGGUUAAUUCCGUUAACGAACGAGACCACAGCCUACUAAUUAGUUGGUAUAAAGUUUCUUUGUACUAAACUUCUUAGAGGGACUAUCGGAUUUAAGCCGGUGGAAGGGUGUGGCAAUAACAGGUCUGUGAUGCCCUUAGAUGUUCUGGGCCGCACGCGUGCUACUGUUAAGAAAUGCGUGAGUAUUGCCUUGACCGAAGUGUCUGGGAAAUCUCAUAAUCUUCUUAGUAGGAGGGCUUGACAGUUGAAACUAUUGCCAUAAACCAGGAAUUCCUCGUAGACGUAAGUCAAGAACUUACAUCGAUUACGUCCCUGCCCUUUGUACACACCGCCCGUCGCUCCUACCGAUUGAAUGUUCCGGUGAAUGCUUUGGAGAUAUGGUUUGGAAGCUUUGCUUACAAAUCUAUGUCAAAGAUGUGUAAACCUUAACAUUUAGAGGAAGAGA